This 444-nucleotide ribosomal RNA is filed under the name Triticum aestivum (bread wheat). RNAcentral's name for it is "partial small subunit ribosomal RNA". The record is from RNAcentral. Lineage: Eukaryota; Viridiplantae; Streptophyta; Magnoliopsida; Poales; Poaceae.
AUGGAUGCGCUCGAGGUGCGCUACGGCCGCUAUGUGCUUUUGGCGACAGCGGACAGAGAUGGCGAGGAGAAAGUGACGCCGGCAGCUCUGCUGGCGACCUUGGAGCAGCGUUACGGCAUGCUGCUGUCGGAGGUGGUCAUUGAGGUCGCGUGCCCACCACACGUGUGGCUGACCUUCUCGACGGAGGAGAAGUGCAUUGAUGUGCUCUUCUCGAAGAUCAAGUGUUGCCGACGCUGGAUGCAGUUUUCACGCUAGAGCAGAAUGAUUCCUGCUCAGCCGGGGGCUCCGGAGUACAAGAGCAAGAGCUUCGAAGGCCUCCCGAACCAGGCCUGGACGACGACUUCAGUGCAAGAAGUUCUGAAGGAACUUGGUGGCGAGCUGAUUGAGAUCCUGCCGCCGGCAAGCCGCCGCGAGCUCGAGGUAAUGGCUUGGCUUUGUGACUGA